UACGGGGGGGGCAAGCGUUGUUCGGAAUUACUGGGCGUAAAGGGCGCGUAGGCGGCCUGAUAAGUUGGGGGGGAAAUCCUGCGGCUUAACCGCAGGGCUGCCUUCUAAACUGUCGGGCUCGAGCACGGUAGAGGCAGAUGGAAUUCCCGGUGUAGCGGUGGAAUGCGUAGAGAUCGGGAAGAACAUCAGUGGCGAAGGCGGUCUGCUGGGCCGUUGCUGACGCUGAGGCGCGACAGCGUGGGGAGCAAACAGG
This 253-nucleotide ribosomal RNA is filed under the name uncultured bacterium. RNAcentral describes it as "partial 16S ribosomal RNA". It matches the Rfam family "Bacterial small subunit ribosomal RNA", at positions 524 to 776 of the family's 1533-position model. The record is from RNAcentral.